Molecule: non-coding RNA, 142 nt
Organism: Populus trichocarpa (black cottonwood)
Lineage: Eukaryota; Viridiplantae; Streptophyta; Magnoliopsida; Malpighiales; Salicaceae
Source: Rfam
CUUCACUUUCUUUUCAAGAGCAGAAAAUUUUGCUUUUUGGAAGCUGGUGAGGUAAUUAGGCAGCGGCCAGACAACCGUAGGGAUGAUUCCACAGAUGACGGGCUGUUAAUCCCGCUUUGUCUACUGAUUCCAUCUCACAUUU